RNAcentral lists this ribosomal RNA (301 nucleotides) under uncultured bacterium. RNAcentral describes it as "partial 16S ribosomal RNA". It matches the Rfam family "Bacterial small subunit ribosomal RNA", at positions 509 to 807 of the family's 1533-position model. The record is from RNAcentral.
CAGUCGCCGCGGUAACACGUAGGGUGCGAGCGUUAAUCGGAAUUACUGGGCGUAAAGCGUGCGCAGGCGGUUUUGUAAGACAGGCGUGAAAUCCCCGGGCUCAACCUGGGAAUGGCGCUUGUGACUGCAAAGCUAGAGUGCGGCAGAGGGGGAUGGAAUUCCGCGUGUAGCAGUGAAAUGCGUAGAUAUGCGGAGGAACACCGAUGGCGGAGGCAAUCCCCUGGGCCUGCACUGACGCUCAUGCACGAAAGCGUGGGGAGCAAACAGGAUUAGAUACCCGAGUAGUCCCUGUCUCUUAUAC